Molecule: ribosomal RNA, 740 nt
Filed under: Streptomyces badius
Lineage: Bacteria; Bacillati; Actinomycetota; Actinomycetes; Kitasatosporales; Streptomycetaceae
Description: bacterial SSU rRNA
Rfam family: Bacterial small subunit ribosomal RNA
Source: RNAcentral
ACCCUUCGGUGGUGGAUUAGUGGCGAACGGGUGAGUAACACGUGGGCAAUCUGCCCUUCACUCUGGGACAAGCCCUGGAAACGGGGUCUAAUACCGGAUAACACUCUGUCCCGCAUGGGACGGGGUUGAAAGCUCCGGCGGUGAAGGAUGAGCCCGCGGCCUAUCAGCUUGUUGGUGGGGUAAUGGCCUACCAAGGCGACGACGGGUAGCCGGCCUGAGAGGGCGACCGGCCACACUGGGACUGAGACACGGCCCAGACUCCUACGGGAGGCAGCAGUGGGGAAUAUUGCACAAUGGGCGAAAGCCUGAUGCAGCGACGCCGCGUGAGGGAUGACGGCCUUCGGGUUGUAAACCUCUUUCAGCAGGGAAGAAGCGAAAGUGACGGUACCUGCAGAAGAAGCGCCGGCUAACUACGUGCCAGCAGCCGCGGUAAUACGUAGGGCGCAAGCGUUGUCCGGAAUUAUUGGGCGUAAAGAGCUCGUAGGCGGCUUGUCACGUCGGAUGUGAAAGCCCGGGGCUUAACCCCGGGUCUGCAUUCGAUACGGGCUAGCUAGAGUGUGGUAGGGGAGAUCGGAAUUCCUGGUGUAGCGGUGAAAUGCGCAGAUAUCAGGAGGAACACCGGUGGCGAAGGCGGAUCUCUGGGCCAUUACUGACGCUGAGGAGCGAAAGCGUGGGGAGCGAACAGGAUUAGAUACCCUGGUAGUCCACGCCGUAAACGUUGGGAACUAGGUGUUGGCGAC